AUGUCAUGUGCAUUCCCUGUGCCCAUUAUUUGCUCACAUGACAUGAUUGCCAUGAUUUCUUCUAGUGUGUUGCAUUUUCGCUCCACUAGUUUGCACGACUUGAUUACUAUGCUUCCUUAUGUUGCAUCACCAAUGACUCAUACUUGCUCAUUUCAUGCGGUUGACGACAACCAUCUAUAUGCUUUGCACACGAUUCAUAUUGCUCCUUGUCAUAUCUCUCCAUAUGUUGACUCCCUCAUGCUAGAUGAUUUGCCAUGUAUUGAGUGCAAUUAUGCCUUUAUUCCUUAUAAUGAGUUUGCCCCCAUAGCGCAUUCUCACAUAUAUUUGGAGAUUUUGACAUAUUCCUUGUGA
RNAcentral lists this ribosomal RNA (351 nucleotides) under Triticum aestivum (bread wheat). RNAcentral describes it as "partial small subunit ribosomal RNA". Lineage: Eukaryota; Viridiplantae; Streptophyta; Magnoliopsida; Poales; Poaceae. The record is from RNAcentral.